CUAGUUUAUAAGACCGCUCGUAUGCGCGGUAGCAGACGGUUAAAAGCAUGUGGUGCAGCGGCUAGGGGGUGGCGUUGAGGCACUAAAGGCCUAGUUAAGGUGGCCUUAGCACCGAGGGGGUGUGAAAAAAGCAAUCCGGGGCUUUCUUGCCUAGGGGCCGUUGGAUAUCGCCGCCGCCUUCUUCCGCACCCAUGGCUUCCCCGCUACUGCUACCACAAGCACCGGCUCCUUCCCUCCGCCGUCGCCACUACCACCUCCGGCGCCGGCACCGAUGUUUCCCCAACCAGUACCACCUGUGCAGGCUCCGAUAGUAGCCCCGCCGUUGUUGAUACCGCCGGAACCACGCGCGUCAUUGAUGCCGCCGGCGCCGUCGUCUCCUCCUCCUCGGCGGGGGCUGUACGUGGUUCGGCGCCCCAGGGGGGAGAGGCUCUCGAUGGUGUAUCUCCGCCGGGUCGAGGCCCUCUUCAAGGUCCGCUACCUGCGCCCAACCACGGCGAUAUCUAGGUUGGCUGGCUGCUACCUCGUCGACAGCCGCAAGGAGGCGCGCCGUGGUCCCAGGUAGUGUGGAGGUCGUAGGAGGGGGGAGGGGGGUUCGGAACGGUCGGCAUCGGAGGGUCUAGGAGGAGAGUUACGUAGAGGUGAAGGGGAUGCUGCAGAGUCCGAAGUGCUAGAGGUGGUGCUACCCGCAGUGUUCGGGUUCCCUCGCGCAGCUCCGGUACCGCUACGACGAGGGGAAGGAUGGCAACAACGGCGCAAGGUGGUGAACGCCGUCGUUCGUUUACCGUGUCGGUCUCUUCGGCGGACGGCUCCUCCGUCGAGGUCGACGUCGUGACCUAUUCACUGGGGAGUCCCGUAUUCUGUUUCAAGAAAUCAAUGUGCCGACGUUGAAUUAAACAAAGGAAAGAUAAACACGACUAAAACUUAUGUCACAUCAUGUCUUGUGGGUGUUUUAGUAGUGUCCCUAAGUACUUGAGUGAAAGCUUACCUUCUUUACACAACAAGUUAACCGUAGUUGGGCUAGCUAGUGAACGGACUAUUUAGAGGACAGCAGACUUAGACCAAGGAGACGCCUAAUAAGACUACAAAUGUCGCAGCCUAAACCACGUCACCUUCCCCUCUGGCUCCUCCUUUACCGCUGGUUCUCCUCGCACCCGUGGGGACCCGGUGUUCCUGGAGUCCUCGUCUUACACAAGGAAGCACGGCUAGACUUGUAAGACGACCUGCUGCUGGCCUUGUAGUGGCUCCUGUUGGCGUAGGCGCGGAGGCACGGUAGCCACGGCAAGGAGUUCAAGGAGUACCCCUUCCGGCGGUUCCAGUAGGAUCGGUUGUUAGACACCGAGGACGGCGAACGGUGAGGAGUGAACGGCCGGGCAAGCGGUGAUCGGCAGCCGGGGACGGGCGGGCGGAGAGGACACCACGUGCCACGGGCUGGGCCGAGACAUACAGGCGGAGGGAGCACGACGAGCAACCAGCGGGGGUAGUAAGUCGGAGAACACACCGCGUGCCGACAUACGGACAUGGACGAACUACAGCCCUCGUUGUGGUGUCCUACCGGCACGGCGCGGAAGUAGAGUCUGGAGUGGCUGAAUCCUAACAUCCCUUUUCACACCUGAUACCUAAGUAUGGUCUUGACCUAACCGGUACCGUGCAGAAGUGGUUGAACAGUACCGCAGCCGUUGUUAUAAGUUCUAAAGAACAAAGGAAGUAAAAGUUCGUAGAGAGUAUGUCCGCUAUAUACGUCCAAGUAGUAAGUACGCUCCCUAUACUUUCUACUUUGUUUUCACUUUCCGCAAAUGCGGAUGUUUCCGUAAGAUGAUGAACGUCAAAGACAUCAAGUUAGUUUGUAAUGUUAAAAGUUUAAUAUAAACAAUACCAAUCUAUAUUUAAAAUUUUCAAAGCUCCAAGGUACUCUACUCUACUACCGAGUAAACACAGUAAAACUGUUUUCAGGGUGAUAUGCCAGUCUAGAACAUCAAGUUAAUCUAUUACGUUAAA
RNAcentral lists this ribosomal RNA (1995 nucleotides) under Triticum aestivum (bread wheat). RNAcentral's name for it is "partial small subunit ribosomal RNA". The record is from RNAcentral. Lineage: Eukaryota; Viridiplantae; Streptophyta; Magnoliopsida; Poales; Poaceae.